This is a long non-coding RNA of Vombatus ursinus (common wombat), 1800 nucleotides long. RefSeq lists it as uncharacterized. Lineage: Eukaryota; Metazoa; Chordata; Mammalia; Diprotodontia; Vombatidae. The transcript is spliced from 5 exons. The record is from RefSeq and is a predicted model, not a curated record.
UUUCUCUCGGGCGUCCAGUUCAGAUGAGGAUGAUGAUAAUGAAGAAAAAACCCCACCACCAUCACCACCACUACCUUUGACACAUUCCAUUGCAACUGCUCUCUUGGCUUCAGUUUUAUGAUGAGGAACGUGAAGCCCAGAAUAUUAAAUGACUUGUACAAGGUCCCAUGGAGAGUGAGUGGCAGAAGCAGUAUUUGAACCUGGGCCCUCUGACUCCAAAUCCCGGACACGAAGAGGAGGAGAAGAGAGCAUUCAAGGCCUAGGGAACAGGCUGAACAAAGGCACAAAGUUUCUUCUUGGGAUCUGAAGCAUGGAAAAGCAUUCCUUGCCAAAAGCAAUAGAGUGGAAAUUUGUGAGCCAUCCGAUCUCAUCUCAAUACUAUUGUCUGUUGGCUGGCUGGGCAGCACUGGCCAAGGUGCCUCAUCAGCCUGUGCCUUCCCUUGCCCAUCUGUGAAGCAGAGAGAAUAAUGCCAGCUUAGUUCAGGAGAACUUAGCAGAGAGAAGAGCGGAAAUCAUGUUUGCGGAGCAAGUGGAAAGAAACUAACCUUUUCAUCAUCCACUUAGCAACAAAUGGAGGACUCCCCCUAGUUUGUCCAUGCUGGGAAUUUGCUCUCUUCUAAAGACAUCCUUAGCCAGGCUUCUCCUGGUAGUUUUCAGCUAUCAACUCCAAAUGGAAUCCAGCUGACUCCAUUUGCUGCCAUUUUCCAGGAGCUUUAAUUGAAUUGAAGUGGAAGAUUUCAAUACUCAAAUGGAUUUGUCAUCUUGCUGAUUCAGGAGUUCCUUCCAACAAACCAUCCAUGUUCUCUCACCCUCCCAUGUCACUGGAUCCCCAUUCAGCAUUGAAAAUGACCUUGGAGACCAUCAAGUCCAACUGCCAGGGUCAAACAGUGGUUUACAUAUAAAACCAAUUCAAAACAAAACAAAAAACCACCCACAAAUGUUUCACCCAACACAGAGUCAAAAAGUUAAGGGACGUACAAAAUGCACGACUAGUGGUUGAAUGAAGUGCACAAUUUAUUGUGAUGCAUCCUUCCAACAUCGGGCAGAUCUUUUCCUUUGUUAGCUCAGAGCCUGUACAGAUGUUACGAACUUGAAGAACAGUCUGUAACAGGAAGGCUGGCAGAGUCUCAGAUACUCACUAGCUAAGUGACCUUGGCCAAGUCACUUAACUUCUGUCUGCCUUACUUUCCUCACUGUACAGUGGGAUAAUGAGAGCAUCUACCUCUCAGGGUGGCUGUGGGGGCCAACUGAGAUAAUAUUUGUGAAGCACUUUGCAAACCUUAAAGUGCUAUAUAAAUAUUAGCUAUUAGUUUAUUCAUAAGGAACCAAACUUUGGAGGCUUUUCACUGAUGGUGAAUUUUACUGAGGAGUGUAUUUUUUGAUCUGUCCUCCCUUUUCUUUUCACAUCAAAAGUAUCUCCAUUAAAAUGACUUCUCUCUAAGAGCUUGUUUAAAGACAUGGUAUGUUGCUUAAAUCUAAGGAGGUUAACCUCCAGAUCUGGUGCUCAUGAAGUCAAUUGAGGCAGAGACAGAAAUAACAUAGAGAAGGAAAACCAGCCUUUUUAUUCAUAGUCAGUCUUCUAAUCGCAUAUAAUUGAGCGACCAAAGCUUUAAUUUAGAAGCUUUUCUAUUAUAGCCUCUCUCUCUAUCUUUAAUGUGGGUCAGUGGGAGAAAAAAUCAUGACAUCAGAAGGGAUGCGGUUACUGAAAACUAUGACAGAAAUUGACCUCCUGUUUUUCUGAGAUCCCAGAGAGUCUCCAUUUUGUGUGAAAUUAUAACAAAAAAUGGCUCUUCCUUGGUU